GCUGAGUGGAGGUAGGUGGAGGGGUGGAGGGGUGGAGGCACGAGGAUGAGGGAGGACCGGCGUCUGCGCAAAUGUGGCAUGCCGCGGGUGGGAGGUCGGCGGCGAGCUUUUCCAGAUGCUGGGAUGACCGACUCAAGGCUGCGAAGCUCCGGGCCGAUUUCAGUUUCGAGCUCUUUUCAGCCAAUCCCCUUCUGUCCUUGAGCCCUGUGCCAGUUUCUCCCCAUCGCCUCCCUCCUCCUACCCUGCUCUCGAGCCGCUGACCACGCCAUGCAGCGGCAACACCAGCUUGGCUCGCUGACGCGGCGGUGGUAGGCCGGAGCGGCACGGCUGGACCUGAGCAGCGAGAAGUGGAAGCAACUGUUCCAGGGAGGACCAAGAGAAGCCGCGCGAGACCGGUCUGGUUCGUCUUGUUGAUGCCGGUGGGAAGGGGAGCUUCUAGGAUUCGCGCGCGACUGGAGGCAGGAGAUGGUGGCCUCGCUGAGGGAGAUCGACCAGAAGAAAUAGGCGGGGCAGCUAGGCUUUGGGUGGUGGUAGAUUCAAACACCGAUGGCUACAACUGCAAGAAGCUGCGACUCUGUUUUUGCACCAGAGGUCUUGGUGAACUAAUUGGAGGCGUCGUUCGAGUUCUACAGGAUCUCCUCCACAUUGAUGUGCUAGCCAUCCAGAAGGAGAGGAUGUUGACGCUGUGAAGUGGUUGGCGAGAAUACCGCACGUGUUCUGCAAGAUGCUCAUCUUAUUCGACGCCCUCGACACAGGUGCAUGAUUCCUCUUCUCCAGCAGCGACACGGUCAAUAGCGAUGCCAUUGACUUCCGCCUUCAUGACUUCUUCACUGCCACUUUAGCCAGCCAGGCCGGCCGUCCUUUAUGAGGAAGAGCUGCUAAAGGCUGAUUGACUAGGGCAAGGUGGCACGACGGUGAUCAUCCAGAGCAUCUACCAGAGUUAUCUCGGCAUGUUAUUUAUCUUCUCCGUAUAUCUCAGCCAUCAGUUUAACCAAACCCACUCUGGAGUUAUUUUUUGGAUGAAAACCCAUUUGCUACUCCUACUUUUGUUGCUCUGUUGCAUUUCUGUUUUUGGAAUAUGUGCAUCUCUAAUAUUCAUGUGCUCCUCAAAUUUCAGUUUGUCACUUAUCAAGUUCUCGCAUUAUCACUGUGCCCGGAGGUUGUUUUUGUAGCAAUGGAGUAGAGAACAUCAGUUUUAUAUUUGCCCACUGGAUGUGUUCUUGCUUAGUCGUUUCUUGGGAAGAUUUUCUUAUAUUUGUUACCCUUUCUGUAUUUGUUUUUUUUUUUUUUGCACGUUCUUGAUAUAUACAUACUUCAGCAAUAUGUAAUCCAAAGGAAUCCUUUUAAGUUCCAUUCUAUUGUUCAAGUUUUGGUUUAGCCGACCAGAGGUAUUCACAGUUGGGUCAUCCAUGAAUUGAAAGACUACUGGAACCUGUGUUUUCCCUUUACAACCAAUUCUUAGUAUUGAACUACGUAUUUUGCUAUCUGUUCCAGUGACAGUUUAUUUACUAUUCAUUCCGAGAAGAUAUGUUAUUGGUUGGGGUUACACAACAGCAUGUGCUGCAGCUCAGUGAGUCGGCCUAGCCAGGUCAUGCUCCCUGAGUAAUACUGGUGUGGCAAAGGUUCUGCAUAAAAAAUAGUAUUGAUGCUUGCUUUUCUAUACUGCAGGGUAUUUCUGUAGAUGUGCUUAUGUUGGUGCUGGACAGAUACUCUAGGCUGCUCUGCAGUUCUAUAUAUUUUUUCAAUUUUUUUGACAUUUUGUCAUUUGUAGAAAGUUGAAAUUGCUUUGCAGUGUUGUAGAUAUUAGUGGUGAUUUAGUUAUAUUGGAUAUUUUGCAAAAAGAAAUUGUUAUCUAUGUGGAUUUGCAUGCAGUACUUAUAUAUUAGCCAUUUGGCUGGAAAAAUUAAAAAAAAGGUUACAAUUAUCUUAGAAAUGUGUUUAGUACCGGUGCUUACCACAUGCAACAUGGAGAGCCAACUUAUUCUGUACAAAAUUUCAUGUUAUAAUUGCCAGCUACUAAUUCCAAACAACUAAUCGAUGAAUACUAUUUUACACGCUAUGUUCAAUAUAGCAGACAUGAGUAUUGCUCUUGAUAGAGUGGACGUAAGUUCGUGCUACUGGUUUACUUGCAGAUCUCAAUAUCUAUAUUCAAGUGUCUAGCUAUGAAAGGACAUGAUGCCCCUGAAGUUUUCUUGUCUCCUGUUCCUUGUUCUGCUUUCCUCUGUCUACUUCCUACUGGUGAUCCAGGAGGUUGUCUAGCCGUUCUCACUGCCUUGGAGUUCAGGUGCGUGAUUUUACGUUCGGCUUCUUAGCUUAUAUUCCCCUUUCCCAUGCUCCUUCCUCCCUUAAGAGGUUUGAUGAUCGAUUGAAUUAGUUGUCAUCUCUUAUUUCCUGUUGUGCUCUCCAAGAGAAUGUUGCAGCACAAAUCUCUUUUGUGGAAAAGGUGCAGAGGUGAUACUGAAUGUUCCAUGUUCCUUGUGAUAACACUUACAUGUUUCUGGUUAAAUCAUUUCUACAACACUGACAAGAUUAUCUCAUAAAUACUUCCAUUAGGUUUAAGCACCAAGAGGUUGUUGCUUGUCAAUUGACAGUCAGUUGUCCAAAAGUAAAAAAGUGCUUAUGAAAUUUGCAGACUUAAAUGGAAAGUUUGACACACAUCUUUCAUGUACUUGAGUCAGGCUCUUGCCAAGGGAAGAUGCAUGUCCUUCCCCAGUUCUCCGCCUAAAAAAAGGUUUCAGAGGGAGUCGGUCUGCCCAGUGCAGGGCAUUGGUGAAACCAGAAACUCUUGGGUCGUUUGGUUAUGGUUCAAAAAGCCUCUUUUCCCUAUUUACCAGACAAUCAAAGACCAAUCGUGACAAUUCAAUUGCUAUAGGCUGUGCGGUUAGUAUGUGUGAGUGUGACUGCUCACAUUUUGCAAGCAGAGCAGCCCAAUAAUUUUUUCCUGAAUGGAUCACCCUUCUCUGUGUUCACUCCUGGGUAUUGCUCCAAGGAUAGGAAAUGUUAGUUCACCUUGACCAACUUAAUAUUGUUGAGUAGACGGUGUUCAGUGUUGUGAAUACUACCGUGCAAUUUUUGUAAAGCUUUCAUGUCCACAGAUUUGACGAUAUUAUUCAGUAAAUAUGCGA
Molecule: non-coding RNA, 3125 nt
Organism: Lolium perenne
Lineage: Eukaryota; Viridiplantae; Streptophyta; Magnoliopsida; Poales; Poaceae
Source: RefSeq, a predicted model, not a curated record